UGAAGACUGAUUUUUAUUCCUAAAGAAGAUGAAAAUAAAAAUAAAAUGAAUGGAUGGGUGUUCAAGAAUAUUCUGGAGCUCCAUAACAGCUUCUUAUUUUCAAACACUCUUUAAAUGCAAAAUAAAAAUCUCAGAAAAAAGACCACGGCAGCUUUUUGUCUUCUUUCCUCUCAUAAAACAACCUCCACAUUCGUCAGGUGACCCUACUGAGGGCUCCGACCCAUAUGUUGGGAACCACUGUGCAUGCAGACGGCUCCAGCUGUGAUGCAUCAUCAGGCAGCAAAACAAAGUUUGAAGUUUUGGAGGAAAACAGUUUGAGCUGCUUGCAGAAGCUUUACUUCUUUACUGAUUUAGAGCUUCUGACAGAAGGCAGCAGACGACACUACAUUUAAUGUGACCUCCUAACCAUCCUACUACAGCUUUAACUACAACAUGAAUAAAUAUUUCAUAACAUUUUAAUUCAAAUAUUUUUCUCUUUUCUUGGAAAUAAUUUUGGAUUUUUGACCUUGACGAGAAUUUUUCUCAUUUUUCAUUUUUUACAAAUCAAAUAAUCAGCUAAGAAUUAUUCAAAUGAGAAUAUUAACAAUCUAUAAUUAAGAAAAUUCAUCUCUGGGCAGGGUUUGCACAGAAGGAGUACUUGUACUUUGCGGUAUUACUACUUGAAUAAUCUGACGGCUUCCUGCACUGCUGGAUAAACAGGAGGUUAAAUAUUUCCGCCUGUGAUCUCGUCUUAUCUCUCCUCCAGCAUCUGUCGCCCUGCAGCAGCCCCCCGGCCGCCGUCACUUCACAGUUUAAAGUGUUUUUUUAAAAAGUAAAAGAAAACCACCCGAAACACUUAUUUCAGUGUAAUUCCGUGUCUGACACAUUCAGGUAAAAGUGCGUAACCUCCUCACAGCUUCCUGUCCUCCCCCCUCCCUGCUGCAGAGGUGGGCCGUUCCCUCUGCUCUGCUCCUGUGUGGGACGAACCAUCUGAGAGCUGCGGGGGUGCUGCUGCUCUGCUGCGUCAGACCACCUGCUGAGGCUGCGGCCGACAUGACUGAACACAGAUCAGAUCCUCCUCCGUCCUUCAGGCUCCGUCAUGUUCGACUCGCUGUAACACACUGACGGCAGACAGCUGCAGCUGCUGUGCACAGGAGCACCAACUUUCAACGAUGCAGAUUUCUGUGUCUGAAUAAAACCAGAGAAAGAUUUAAACUGGAGUUUCACAGACGACACAUUCAUUGUGCAAGCAGUGAUUAAAUAUUUGAAGCUGUGAGUGAGUGUGCUGCUUGUUCUUGUAUUCAUCAGGUCCCCAAACUGUUCUAUGAAUUAUAUGAAGCUUUAAAAACACAACGUUGAGGACCCGUCGUGUUUAAAUAAUGCAUUAAGACCUUAAAUAUAAAAAACUGCUCAGCAGUAUGAAGAGAAUCUUUGGAUUUUAGACAAAACACUGAAUCUGAAAACACGACUUUGAGCUUAAGCUCUCACUUCUUAUUGUGCAGUUUUCCACCGCCUCACUGGAAGAUCCUGAAUCAGGAAUUUCUCCAACUUUUUACUCUUUUUCUGCACUUUUUACAUUUUCAAACCAAAGAACUUGAAAUUGUAGAAGUGCACUUACCUGGACAUUGGUCCAAAUAAAUUUACUAACAGACUAACUUACAAAAUUAAACUUAUUGGCAAUGAUUUUUCCCACGGACCUUAAACACAACCUCUACAAACGGAGGAAAUUUAUUAGAAUACAGAUCAGCUUCUCAGACCUUAAUAUGCUUUAUUUUAAUGUUAAGACUUUAAAUUCAUGCAGAAACCCUUAUUUAUGUGACACAUUAUGUUAUUCUUACAACUUUCAACUAUCAGAACUGCUUCUGUUUGCAUGUUUGCAAUAUAGACAAAAAGAAGAGAAAAAUCCAAAAGAAAUAAACCACAUUUAGUCUUUUGGAACCGCCAGUUUAUUUUAGUACCAAACCUUAACUUUUAUGUAAUAUGAAUUAUAUGGAUGUAAUGAGUGUAAAAUGUCCAAUAAGAUGUGCUGGACCCACCUCCUCGCUGUUGUGACCCUAAAGUAAAAGCAGACCUCAGGUUUACCUGCACUGCUUCCUCUUCCUCACAGGAGAGCAAAGCACAAAUAAAAAGGGGCAGAGAUACAAAGUACAACUCACAAAAUAAAAGUCCGGUUUAUUGUCAAACAACAAACUUUGCACAUACAUCAAAACAGGCCGUCAUAAAACAAAAAGUCGCUGACAAAAACAAAACCAAAAGAAAAAAAACCAAAAGAAAGGAAAAAGAAAAGAGGCUCUUUUCUUUGGCCUUACCCUCCCAUACAAACAAACUAGUUAUGGUACAGCUAAAGUACAUACAUUAAAUUUACUGGAAUGCUCUGAGUUCAACGGCUUAAGAGGUUGUCUUUCAUGUUUUUAUUCAUUUUAUUUUUUUACACGUUUUUCUAAGAUCUGUUGAGAUAUCGUAACAUGGUCAACCAAGUAAAAUCUUUCGUUAGAGAAGCACCGAUUUGGUCUGACGGGAUCGCUGCCGAGAGAGAAACUGCCCCCCUCCCCUCUCCUAACAAUAUGUACAAAAAUAUAAAAUGUAAAUAAAAAUACAAACAAAUUCUCCUUUUGUGUUGUUGCUGAAGAGAAGCCGGAUUUCUGCGUCGUCGAUGCGGUGGCGGGUUCCUCUAGAAAAUUUGUCUCGCAGCGUCGAGGGGAGCUCGGGUGGGUGUGGGCGUGGCGGGUGUUUGUUGAACUCUACUUGCUAAUGACCAUGUUGGAUUUUUUUUAUUAUUAUUAUUUUUUCCUUUAAAUCAGUCCUCCAGCCCCUCCACCUGCGACAUAGAAAAAUGGUCAGAGGUGAAGAAUCAGGAAGUGGUUCAGCAGGAUGGCGCGGGGGAAACGCAUCAAUCGUCAUCGUCGGUUUUCUGCUUCUUGGUUUCGACGUCGUCCUGAAAGAAGAGAAGACGGUGGCGGGUUAGACCGGCGCCUGCUGGGUGUCACGGCGACGCUCGAUUUAAGGGCGUUUAAGCGCCGCUGCCUCACCUCGUCGUCGUCCUCGUCAUCCUCAGCUGCCCGUUUUGUGCCACCCUCAAUCUCGUCGUCGUCCUCCUCCUCAUCUUCCUCAUCACCUACAGGACAGAAGUUGAAAGGUGAGAAAGACUAACAAGAGUUCUUUAUUUUUUUUUUAAAAGGCAAAUAAGCCUUCAAGCUACCUUCUCCAUCAUCUUCCUCUUCUUCCUCGUCCACCUCCUCGUCCUCCUCGUCAUCUACCUCGGGCUCACCGUUCUCUUCAUUCUCCUGGAAAAUACAAAAAUGGUUAAAAAUGUCCGACUCUGUGCAGAGAGCUGCUGCGGCGGCGGCGAUGGCGCUCACCUUCCCAUUGGUGGCGGCGUCUUUGCCGUUCUCCUUCUCCUCCACCAGCUUCUUCUCUUUCAGGUCCUGGAAACAAACAGAAGCAAACAUCAGAAACUGAACCUGCUCAUCUGCCCAGCAAAACGCGCUGCUGGGUUUAGACUCCGCCCACCGCUACCUGCCCUUCUACCUACUGGCCUACUUAGCAGCGUCCCAGUGCUUGCUGGGAGCUGCACGUUUUUCUGCCUUCCUAUUUAAACACCAUAUUGGUCUCCGCAGAUCCUCCCCCCACCUCUUCCCUCUCCUCCCACUCCAUCCCCUCUAAUGUGUUGUAAUCUGAUACUUUGAUGUGGCCCGCGGGGCAUUCUGGGUAUUGUAGUCUUCUAUGGGCCGCUGUCGCCGCCAUAUGUCACGAGACACGCCCGGGAGAGGCACUGCAAUACCCAGGAUGCACCCCGUUUAAAAUAACACAGGAGGGCGCAGGAGCAGGGAGGGAGCAGGAGGAGGGGUCGGUGAUGGAGGAGGAGGAGGCGGCGGAGAGAGCGCGAUGCACGCUGCUGCUACUGCUCGUUGUAACGGAGGCAGGAAAGGACAAUAGAAGACGACACAUGGCAGGCGAGCGAAGACACGGCACCUUCCGCCUCCGUGCUCGAGCUCAGCGCGCACUAACGCCGCUUCUCUUCCUCGUUUUGUUCCCUCAUAGCCUAUUAUCCCCGCCACACGCGCGCCUCACGCAUCCACACGUAGGCUGUUAUUGAUUAAUUGCUCUCCAUAAUCUUAUUGGUUGAAAUCCAUUAAGCUGUUAAGCGGCAGGAGGAGAGCAGCCUGGCCGCGCGCUGCGCGUAAAAACGCGCCUGUGCGUAAAAACGCUCCACAACUAAAAAUAGUGAACAGGCUCCCCGGAUUACCCGCGCUAAUGCCUGUCCAACUUUUCCCCUCUACACCUUCACCACCUCCUCCAAAUGGACAUUUGUUACAAUCGCUCAGAAUUAUCGGGCUCGCUGCUGCUCUGAUUCCCGGGAUGAUCGCGGUCCGCGGAGCCACAACUCCCCCCGCGGGGGCGAUUAAACUUUUACCCGAUCUGAUCCAAAGUCCACGCGCACAAAAACUCGCGUUUUCACAACAAAAGCAGCUCAAACGUUUAAACGGAGGAAAAACCCGCAGAAAGAGGGGAAAACCAGCAACGUCACAUCACACCUCCACAGCCCGGCCACGCGCGCUCACGCACACACACACACACACACACACACACACACACACACACACACACACACACACACACACACAGAAAGAAGUGGCUGCAUUACAAAAAAAGAAAGAAAAGUUUCCCCUGAGACCGAAGCGCGCCCUGCAAACAAGCCCCGAAAACACCAAAGCAAAGCGGAAGCCCCGCGCUCACAACCGCUCACGCGCUCCGGGAGCGGAGACCGGAGCAGCUGAGGCUGGAGCAGCGGCGGCCGCCGACCUUCCGGAGUCGGUAAACAAACGGGGUCAGACGGUGCAGGCAGAUCGGUGGCGUUAACAAACGGGCUCACGGAAAUAAGAAAUAAAAAAGGCGGGAGGAAAAGUGCAGAACCGAAAGUUCAGCGGAGGACUACGCACCGCCUGACGCGCUGUCCUCCAUUCAAACGGAGCAAACCCCGGGCUGGAGGUCCGCGUCCACGCAUCCACCGGCCGCUCACUCCGUCACCGCUCCCGGUAAUGCGACCCGACCGAGUCCCUGCACCGGGAACGGAACCUCCCCUCGAUCUAAACGCGUUAAGAGCCCGAGAUGCGGGAUAGAUGUGCGCGGCGCCCCGGCGCUCACAACGAGCCCGAAAACCCCGCGGGGAGCGAGCCGGGGGACCGGAGCUGCUCGGUGUCCGGGUCCCGCUUGGAUGUGCGCGUGGAGCAGCAGGAGAACCGAGCUGCUGGCAGAAACAAAGACCCGCGCAGACCGGGACGCUCCGGACAAUGAGCCGCGGCGCUUUAACGCUGCCCGUGAUGCGGUGCCGAGACCCCCCACUUCCCUCUACACACAGAGUUCAGGGGGAAAGACGCGAACACCGACUUUUCUUCUCCACCUCAGACUCCACAGAGUCCGAGCGAGCGCGAAGCGACGACGGAGAGGUUUUAAAUGUAGGUUAGAGCCUGGAGAGCUUUAUUCUUGUAAGGGGGCUCCGCGGAGACACGGCCCCGCGAAUGGAGGUGUGCGGCGGCUUACCUUGGCAGAGAUAUCCGAGCCGGAGUCGACCUGUGUGUCUGCCAUUGUUUAGUAGAAUAAAAUAAAGGACGGCUGAAAUGAAAGGUUGAAUAAAGUAAAUCCCCUCGUCUCGGUUAGCGGAUCAAUCAGUAUUAUAUUGUGCCAGUGGCCAAUGCUUCUGACGGCCGAGCCUUUAAUAUAGGCUUGUGGGCGGGGUCUUCAUGAGGUCGGUGGUCUCUGAUUGGCCAGAGGCUCGGCAGAGGUGUUCUCCUAGCGCGUAGAGUAACAAUGGAUAGGAUUUCUUAACCCAAAGGCCACGCCCCCUCCUAUUCUAUCGCUGCAACCGUCCCUUUCUCCCCUAAAACAAUAAUCAGAGUCGAUAAAAGCCCACAAAACGGACCGGAGCCGGAACCGUGGCAGCUCCACAGCACCGUGAGCGCAAGAAAAUCGAGUUUCCGUCGAGUUACGCAGUAAAUAUGUCGAAUCGAGAGCGCUUCGGUUGACGUAGUGUCACUUUGAUUGAUUGAUGUGCGUCUGGACGAGUCAAGCGGCGACUUCAGACGGUUUCUCCCGCCCACCGCCGCGACGGGGGAAUAGAGGCGAAGUGUUUGGGAGGGAAACGUGGACGACACGGAUGUUAUUACGGAUUAAAUCGGGCUUUUCUCCCCAAAAGUUAGUGUCACAUCUCAAGCUCCAUGUGAACAACAUCAGUCAGAUACAAGGCGCUCAGAGUGUAAAUGUGGAGCGGCGCCGCCAUGUCACAUCGCAGCUCUUCGUCGCCCCGCCCCUUCCCGACGUCCAUGUUUGAAACUCAUCCCUGUAUGUGCGCACUUGACACUCUUGAGGGCUUUUUUUUUUUUUUUACAUAACAGCCCAUAAAUUCGUGCGCCAAGGUCGAGACACAAAUAAACACAGUGCCCGUCGAACAACACACACACAGCCGGCUCUGACGCCGUGAUUCGGGCUGUUCGGGCUCAGUGAGCGGGUGCAGUGAACAGUGCUGGUGGCUCAUUUCCUCCGCCUCCAUUGUUAGGACCCACAGAGAAAUGCCCCGCCGUGGAGGAGGGAAAAAAAGCAGUGCGACAUAAAAGACAUGCGAUGAGAGAAGUGCGGAAAAUAAUUAUAAUGUGCUCAUGAACUGACGCGCAUUCUUAUGAAACACAAGGGCAAACACGUAUUUUCCUUACCGACUUUUGUACACAUGGCUUUUACAAGCUGAACUGAGAAGGACAAAGCGGCACGCAAAAAAGGGUAGCCGCCAUUGCUCAGUGUUGAUGGGGGAUGGGAGCAAAGUGUGCUCCGGUAACAGGCAGCCCACAUUCACAUUCUACUCUGAUGACGCACUUGGCCGCAGAGGACGGCUCGGAUUGGUCGGCUAAGUGGAAUAAACACGGCUUUGGCGCACGGCAGGCGCUGAUUGGUUACCGCCGACGUUCCCAGAGCCGCUGCGGGGCCGACGGUGCGUUCAGGUCACGUGGGGAGAAGCAGAACAGGACCACUGUGGUUAAAGCCUCAGUUUCACCACAGAUGCUUUAAGGCUCACAGACUGGACGAACGCAACAAAGGCUUAAGAUGAUCGUUUGUAACUGAGGGCGUGAUUUUAUGACUCAUGAUUAUUCAUCAUUGUCACAGGAUGCGUUCCUCUAAUUUUGGUGAUUUUAUGACUUUUCUCUUUGGUUUUAUAUGAGUGACCAGGACAGCUGCCAUCACCAGUGAAACUGAGCCCAUCACAUGAGACGGGGAGCAAAUAAAUCUUGAAUCAAAGGACUUUUAAUGAAACACUGAACUCAGACCAGCUCUGAGUCUGGACACGGACUGUCAGACUUGUGAACGUGGGGAUAACAGCAGAUAUAUGUCCACACAGGCAGAAUCCAGCUGUUGUAUUAGCAUGAAGAGCAGUGCUAUUAGUCAGACACUGAUACCUGUGUUCUUAAAUCAUCAGUUUGUGGAGGCUUGGUUGAGUCGGUGACUGUGGCCACUCGCCGGCUCGGCCCCGGCAUCAUCCUGAUUUGGUCCCACGACUUUUGAUGAACUCCUGCUGGUUCCCUGCUCACAUCACUGAGCACUUGAUGCUCAGACCCGUGAAUGUAAAAGCCAAUAAGGAAUCCAGUGAAGGACACAUGUUGAUAUAAUCUGCUCACAGUGAAGAAGGUGAGCAGCACAUACCUGGAAGGCUCCGCCCACAAACAAAGGAGGGAAACGCCUCUGAGCUCUUUGAUAAUCAGACACGCUGUCGGCGUCGCUGUGAGUCACUGAUGUGCUGAUGUUUCUGAUAUUUCAUCUUUCUGCCUCGUUUUCAUUUGAUGUGAUUUUUACUGCCUGUGAGCCUCUGACCCGUGUUCAGUGUAAAUAAUGUGUCCUGUCCAC
Long non-coding RNA from Astatotilapia calliptera (eastern happy), 7866 nucleotides. The record is from Ensembl. Lineage: Eukaryota; Metazoa; Chordata; Actinopteri; Cichliformes; Cichlidae.